AAACCGUUCAGGGGUAAACCUAAGAAACCCAAAAGAUCGAACGGGGAGAUUCAUCGUCAGCGUCGCAGGCUUCGCGUCGGUGGGCGAUGCCCCGCGGUGCCGUUCCCUCGGCACUCGCGCGGGCACGCUACCGUGCGCCGAUGUCCGGCGUACGUCGUCGUGCACUUCUCCCCUAGUAGGACGUCGCGACCCGCUGGGUGUCGGUCUACGGCCCGGGUACGGUGACUGUCGCGUCGCCGGUAAAACGGCACGCGGCAAACUCCCGGUCGCCCGGCCGGCUGCCCGGCGGUACACGCAACGGUACAAGGCCGCGCCGCGCGCGCGUCGGGCCCGUCGCAAGCGAGCGCCACGGUACCCGGAGGUACGGACCUAGCGCCGUCCCCGGUCCUGGCCCGCUGUUAGCAGUACGGUGUUACCUUCGACAGGCCUCCCUCUCGUUCACGCGAGAGAUUACCGGUCGGCGACGCUACUGCUUUGGGUACUCUUAGGA
RNAcentral lists this ribosomal RNA (490 nucleotides) under Sphinctomyrmex steinheili. Its description in RNAcentral is "eukaryotic LSU rRNA". The record is from RNAcentral. Lineage: Eukaryota; Metazoa; Arthropoda; Insecta; Hymenoptera; Formicidae.